UACGUAGGGGGCAAGCGUUGUCCGGAAUCAUUGGGCGUAAAGAGCGUGUAGGCGGCUCGAUAAGUCUGCUGUGAAAGUCCAGGGCUCAACCCUGGAAGGCCGGUGGAAACUGUCGGGCUAGAGUCCGGAAGAGGCGAGUGGAAUUCCCGGUGUAGCGGUGAAAUGCGCAAAUAUCGGGAGGAACACCAAUGGCGAAGGCAGCUCGCUGGGACGGUACUGACGCUGAGACGCGAAAGCGUGGGGAGCAAACAGG
RNAcentral lists this ribosomal RNA (253 nucleotides) under uncultured bacterium. RNAcentral describes it as "partial 16S ribosomal RNA". It matches the Rfam family "Bacterial small subunit ribosomal RNA", at positions 524 to 776 of the family's 1533-position model. The record is from RNAcentral.